RNAcentral lists this transfer RNA (72 nucleotides) under Dipodomys ordii (Ord's kangaroo rat). It matches the Rfam family "tRNA". From Rfam's summary of the family: Transfer RNA (tRNA) molecules are approximately 80 nucleotides in length. The record is from Rfam by way of RNAcentral. Lineage: Eukaryota; Metazoa; Chordata; Mammalia; Rodentia; Heteromyidae.
GGGAAGAUGGCUCAGUGGUAGAGCACUUGCCUUGCAUGCAUGAGGCCCUGGGUUCGAUUCCUCAGCACCCCA